This 449-nucleotide ribosomal RNA is filed under the name uncultured bacterium. RNAcentral describes it as "partial 16S ribosomal RNA". It matches the Rfam family "Bacterial small subunit ribosomal RNA", at positions 29 to 523 of the family's 1533-position model. The record is from RNAcentral.
AACGAACGCCGGCGGCAUGCCUAACACAUGCAAGUCGAACGAGACCUUCGGGUCUAGUGGCGCACGGGUGCGUAACGCGUGGGAAUCUGCCCUUGGGUUCGGAAUAACAGUUAGAAAUGACUGCUAAUACCGGAUGAUGACGUAAGUCCAAAGAUUUAUCGCCCAAGGAUGAGCCCGCGUAGGAUUAGCUUGUUGGUGAGGUAAAGGCUCACCAAGGCGACGAUCCUUAGCUGGUCUGAGAGGAUGAUCAGCCACACUGGGACUGAGACACGGCCCAGACUCCUACGGGAGGCAGCAGUGGGGAAUAUUGGACAAUGGGCGAAAGCCUGAUCCAGCAAUGCCGCGUGAGUGAUGAAGGCCUUAGGGUUGUAAAGCUCUUUUACCCGGGAUGAUAAUGACAGUACCGGGAGAAUAAGCCCCGGCUAACUCCGUGCCAGCCGCCGCCGUAA